This 454-nucleotide ribosomal RNA is filed under the name uncultured bacterium. RNAcentral describes it as "bacterial SSU rRNA". It matches the Rfam family "Bacterial small subunit ribosomal RNA", at positions 8 to 507 of the family's 1533-position model. The record is from RNAcentral.
AGAGUUUGAUCAUGGCUCAGAGACGAACGCUGGCGGCAGGCCUAACACAUGCAAGUCGAACGAACCCUUCGGGGUUAGUGGCGGACGGGUGAGUAACACGUGGGAACGUACCUUUAGGUUCGGAACAACACAGGGAAACUUGUGCUAAUGCCGAAUGUGCCCUUCGGGGGAAAGAUUUAUCGCCUUUAGAGCGGCCCGCGUCUGAUUAGCUUGUUGGUGAGGUAAAGGCUCACCAAGGCUACGAUCAGUAGCUGGUCUGAGAGGAUGAUCAGCCACACUGGGACUGAGACACGGCCCAGACUCCUACGGGAGGCAGCAGUGGGGAAUCUUGCGCAAUGGGCGAAAGCCUGACGCAGCCAUGCCGCGUGAAUGAUGAAGGUCUUAGGAUUGUAAAAUUCUUUCACCGGGGAAGAUAAUGACGGUACCCGGAGAAGAAGCCCCGGCUAACUUCGUG